GGAGCCUGUGUUGCCUUUUUUGUUGUCGCGCGUUCGUUUGAAUUCUCCUUGAAUGCUGCGUGCUGUGUUGCCCUUUGCAUUUUACACCGCGCGGCGUAGUGCUCCAUUCUGUUAGCCCUGUGCGCGCGCGCGUGGAGCAGCUUUUUUUCGUUUCCUCUCGCCACCGCCGACUGUAGCCGUGCCAGUCCGUUCAAGAAGCGGUCGGAGGUACAACAUCCCCCUCUACAGACACACACAUACACAGAUCUCUCUAGUCAUUAGCGACAAAAAAAGAGGUGCACCCCCUUCUCCCCUCUUGCGUCGUCCCUCCUAGGCUUUCAAGUGCCUCCGUUUCUUUACGUGUCGUAGUCUUUUUCCACGUAGCACGUCUCCUGCUUUUAGCUCCCUUUACAAGACGCCGCAGUAUCACCAGCAGCGAGAGGAUGGCGUCGCUAUGCGCGUCGGCAUGCGAUGUGCAUGAAUCUCUGAACGACAGCGGGGAGACAGACAGACAGAUGGUGCUUAUCCAUGUCGAUAACACCUUGCUUGCAAUGCGCACGAGCAACCGGCUCAAUUAUCGCAGCAGUCCGCUAAAGGAGAAGGAAGCUAGCGAGUACGCAGUUGCUCAGGAACUGCUUGACCUGCAGCGGCGUCUCUUCGCCGGGGCUGUUCCCGUGCCCGGCCGCACUUCGUCUUCGUCCUCGGUGCACCCCUCUCCGCAGGGGAAAAGUAAUCCUGCCUGCGCCUGCUCCACCGAGGCACUACCGGAUCUCGUGCCAUUGGCUCUACCGGAUAGCUACUCGAAGCACGGCGAGGUGAGUGAGGUGGCAAUUCUGAGCGCCUUCGCAAACGUGUGUCGGAGCCCUAACACCUCGGCAGUUGUCACCGGCGUCGCCCUCACCGCUUUGGUCGACAUGUUGGACUUGCCCUGCGCAUUCGUGUCAAUGUACGGCGUGUACGCCGCGAUCGAGGCCGCCUCCGAAACGCGUGCUGAGGUGCACGAUAGCGCCUCGCAUGAGGUGCUGCUCUCUCGCAUCUUUAGCGUCUAUGUCGCUGCUCUGAAUCACCCCGCAGCGGUGAUGGCCGACGGCGGCGUGCACGUGCGGGCACUUGGCCGCAUGAUGGUGCUGGCCACGCACCCCGAGGCAAGUCAACUACUGAAGCGCACCGUGGAGAAGAGCAUGCGACUCAUCGUCAUGACGUUGUUCCGCCGGUUGCUGCAUCUGCCAGCCGACGAGGACGCGCGCAGGGCGUUGGUGGCGGCAGGUGUGACGGUGCUGCGGUUCAUAAGCCGCCUUAUCAGCGGCGACAUCGCCUGCUUCGACAACGACGGCCACGAGGUCGCGUCGACGGUGGCGUUUGGCGGCAGCGAGGGAUUGGCAGGCACUUCAGCGAGCGGUGGAAGCGGUGACGACAAGACCUCACCUUUGGAGAACACGAUCACGCUGAUUCAACUGGAGGGACUUGCACUCGCGCAGGAUUGUCUGCUGCUGCUUCGGUGCUCCCUCAGCAAGCCCUUGUUUGCGCCGCUGCUGGACACAGUGCAGAACCAGCUGUGCCGCGCGCUCUUGAUCGCCGGCGUUGGCACUAUGCGCACCAUUGUUCUUGCCCAAACGCUGCGCACGGUCCACCUCGUCAUGCAGGGCUCCUCGGUGCACUUGAUCCCACAGAUAUACAACUUCAUCCGCGUGCUGCACCUCAACCCGCUAGAGGCGCUCGCAAACGAGCUUGCCGACGCCGGCGCUGUCCAGCCGGGUUCGCCGGUGGGCCGUAGCGGUUCUCCAGUCGCGUCCAGGCCUCCGGCCAGUCCUGUCAGCACUGCUUCCUCCGGCCACGGCAACUCUGGCCGACUCUCUGCGCAGCAGCUGCAGAGGAAGCAGGAGCGGCGCGACAUCCUUCUGGAGAGCUUGGCGGAGUUUUGCAGCGACCCGCGCUUUGGCAGCUUCUGCUUUAUCCACUACGACCUUUCGUGGCGGUACGCCUCGCUGCUGCCGCAGCUUUACCAGGUCCUGGCAAACCACGUCUACCCCGUCUUUCACGGCGACCCAGAGGAGGUGGCGACAGCGGCGUGGUCACAGCGGCGGAGCGGCAUGGCAGGAGACCGAAAGGCCGCCGCCCAACGACGCCAGAGGGCUGCUGCUGCUGUGGAUUACCGCAGAGACAGGCGCCAACGGAGCAUGGCGGCGCGGCGUCUGCCGCGCAGCACCCAACGCACGGCGCUGGAUGCGACGACGAACAUGGUGUCCGGCAUCGCGAUCCGGGCCAUCGCGUCAGGUGCAUUGCCGUCGACUGCCGCCGAGUCAGAUACCACCAUCUGCGCCGGAAGCCCCUCGACGUCCCUCGCGGAGUUGCAGCGCCUCAUCCAGCAUGCGCAGAAGGAGAAGGACAAGCUGAACUACUUUGCAUCGCUCUUCGAGGACUCACCGAUAAAGAAAGGCAUCCCGUUCCUGCUCGAGCACGCCAUUCGCGUGCCUGCCGGCGCGGAGGAGGAGACCUCCUUGAAGCACUGUACAAAGCUUGUGCUUGCAGAGCCGGCAGGCGGGCGGGAGCUCGGCGAGGCCCUAUACCGUCUCAGCAUUGUGCUGAACAAGCGUGUGCUUGGGGACUACAUUGGUGAGCAGGGCCGCAACCAGCCAGAGGACGUCGCCGCUGCCGAGGAUGCAACGAGACCGGCUGCUCUCUUCUCUGUUCGGUUCUUCGAGGAGCAGCUCGACGGAUUCAUUCACCAGUUUGAGUUCCACAAUAAGCCGCUGCUAGAUUCGAUUCGCGAAAUGGUGUUCCUCCUCUGUCUGCCCGGUGAGUCGCAGAAGAUUGACCGAGUGAUGGAGUCCUUCGCGAAGCACUGGUACCAGCAGAAUGUGACCUACCGCGAGGACGGCACUUUGGUCAAGGACGAGACGCUCAACCCCUUCCACAGCGACUCGGGCGCCUUUGUCCUCUCUUUUGCCAUCAUUAUGCUCAACACGGAUCAGCACUCUGGCAAGGUGGCGCAGCAGAUGAAGAGGGAGGACUUUGUGAAGAUGAACCGCGGCAUCGACGACGGCAAGGACAUCCCCGCGGCCUACCUCGGCAGCAUCUACGACGACGUUCGUCAGCACGAGGUGGUGAUGGCCGAGAUGAUGGACCGCGGCUUCGCGAACGAUACGACGUGGAGGCUGGAAAUGCAGCCGUGCUUGAACUUUGUGCAUCACGCGCUGAGCGCAGCGGCAGAGGUCGAGAAGGCGGAGGCGGUGAAGGCGCUGACGACCAUAUUGUCUCACGAGCUCGGCGCUGCGACCGCCGCCGCCACGGCGGGUUCGACAGUCGCAACGGCGCGUAUGCGUGACCCCGAGAGUGGCGUCCUGCAGAUCUUCGACCUGCUUCUCUUUCAGUCUCUCUGGAAGCGCAGUCUGCUCGUGUUCGAUGGCAUGUUGGCGUCCGCCGUGGACGAGGUGUCGUUGUCGAUUGUGGCUACCGGUGACACCAUCGCGCGCGCCGUCGAGGAGGCGGAGCAGCAGUUGCCGGCUGAGAUGGCUAUUCUGCAAUCGAGCCUGCGCGGCGUCUGCCUGCUGGCGCGUGCUGCCCACGCACUUUCUUUACCCGUGGUGGCCGACCAGUGCUUUAUGGGGCUGCUAAAGUAUGUCGUGAUGAGCGACUUGACGAACGCCGAGGAAGAGGUGCGCGCCCUGUACCGCAGUGUGCCGAAGCUGUUGUGCAUGCGCGAGAUCUUUGCGCUGCUCGUGGACAUCUACAGCAGCCUCGAGGACAGCUGGCUGCCGCUGUCGCGCUUGAUACUGGACAUGCAGUUGGUGGGGCUGUUUGCCGAGCCUGCGCAAGCGGCGGCGAGGGGCAGGCCGAAACCGCGUGGGGCUGAUGAUGGCGACGCUGAGGCGUCGGACAGCAGGGCAGCGCAGCGGUCGGUGUCGGCGCCGACAGAGCCCCUUCACGUGCUUCUGCAGGACCCCGGCAUCUACGCCAACGUCUUUGCACCACUCUCGGCAGCCUCCGCUGCUGGGGACAUUGCCGCGGAGCAGAAAGCGGCGAGUGAGCGCGGCUGGUUCUCUUCUCUGUUUGGGGGUAGCGGGGCGCUGCAGGUGUCGACGGUCCAGCUGUCUGAGCUGCGAGAUGCACUCGGUCGAAUAGGCAGCUGCAUCCCAAAUAUGCGUCGGCUUUUGUCGAUUCUGCAGCGAGUGUCAGCUGAUCCGAACGCUGCCCAGCGGUGUUUGUGCAGUCUCUCUGCCGUUUCUAGCAUUGAGGAAGAUAUCGCCGGCAGCAGCGGCAACGGCGUCAACUCAGCCCCAGCAGAAGGGGAGGGCAAGAAAGGAAAUGGGCACCCUAGCGGCCUGGACGAGGCCUCCGCCUACGCCGCCUCGUACGAACUCGCUUUCAUCUGCGCAGUUGUGGGUGGCGCCGCAACAACGGCGGUGCUUCAACCCGCGCACUUUGCCUCGCUCACCACCCGCGUUAGCCGGCUGCUGCGGGAGGUGGACGUGUAUCUGCACGACACCCGCGCGAGCGACGGUGUGCGGGCGUACUGGUGCACCCUUGGCAAUCGCGUUGUGUGCGCGUCGCUGCAGCUCAUGGCGGUUCACUGGCGCGGCCAGCACGGCGCCGUCGCUAUGGAGCAGCUAUGGGCAUGCUGGAUGCGUGCCGCUCCUUCGACCUUCGCCUUCGUCGUGGCUCGCCCCGUCGCAGCGUUUCUCUACGACCAAGUCGUUGUUCUGGAUGAGGCUGAGAAGGGCGCUGGCCCAGGCGAGAAGGAAAGGGACGCAAUGCAGCCGUGGGCCUCUGGCAGCGAAGUACUUGUUCUCCUUGCACCCUUCGCGGUACACGCCGCCGCCGUCUCUGAUGUCGUGGUACAGCGCCAGAUUGGCUCCCUCCUUUUGCAUGUGGUGCAGCAACGCCGCUACAGCGUCUCGGACGACACGGAGAGUAUUGUGUCGCUCUGCCUGUCGUUUAGCGUGUGGAUGCGACACAGCCGCGCCGCAGGGUCGAGCACGGCGGUCGGCGACACACCAGAGAGCAAUGAGGCGGCACUCACGAAAGCGAAGUGCGGGGCGGUGGCCACCACAUCCCUUCCAAGCGGUGCCAGCGUGGCGGAGGUGCUGGGCCUUUGUGGGCGCAACGUGCUCCUGGACAACGCCGGCACGGCCGCCGGUGGAGCUGGCGCGGAAAGGGGCGAGUGGUGCAGCCUUUGGGUGUUUGUGCUUCGAAGUCUUGGCGCGCUGGCCCUCUGCAGCUCCGAUGCGCGUGAUGGCAGCGAGGCAAUCUUGUGCCUGCAGCGUGCUUUGCUGGAUUCAGAAGCACACGAUCUUCCCUCCUCUGCGGUUAUGGCUGUGUAUGAGGACAUCCUCAUCCCUCUGACAGAGCGUCUGUGCGCACCGAAGGCGCGAUUGCAGACUGGUCUGCAGUGGGCCGGCGCGAGAAAGGCCGCCUUGCGCGAAAACAGCGGCGCCGCCGCGAGCUUCAGCCGAAGCGUUCUCGGCAGUCUCGUCAACUCACUCGUGUCGCCGGUGUCGCCGGAGCGGAACGGGCAGGGUGAGUCGAUGGCUUCUGUGGUCGGCGCCUCCGCUCUGUCUCGGCGAUCUGCACCGCCGACGCUUGUGUUCACGGAGGUGAAGUGCCGAUUACUGAGCUUGGUGCCCAAGGUCCUGCUGCGGUACACGGCCGCGCUAACGACGCAGCCGGAUUUGCUGCUGUCGUUGUGGAGGCGGGUUCUGGGCACCUUGUACGCGGUGCACAGUGCUUACCCGGUCAUAGAAGAUGCUGCCGGGCAUGGCAUGGGCGGCGGUAGCACCUCCCAUGACGAUGCGAUGCUGGUGCAGGAGGCGGUGGAGGAGACGGUAAAGAAUAUGAUCUACGUGGUCGCCUCCACUUGGCAGUGCUCGUCGUCGUCGACAGUGGGCAGUGUCGCCGGUACCCAGCAGCAGCACGCGGCUGCUUUCUGGGCCGCGAUUGUGCGCUUCUUGCAGCCUUUUUCGUUCUCGGCACCGCUGGUUGAUUUUAUGGUCCAGGCUGGCCUUGUGCGGAUAGAGGCUGGUGCUGAGGCUGCUAUCGCACCGGACGCUGCUGCUCCAGCUGGUUGAGUCUUAUUCUCUCUGCCUAUCUUGUAUGCUCUGUGCUUUACGCGCGGGGAAGAGGUGAGCACGAGCUCGUCGGCCGCUUGUGCUUGAGAGUGAGGUGUACGCACGUAAUGGCGGUGGAAAGAAACGAAAAAGGCGAAGCACAAGAUGCAAAGCAGGCAAGCAACAGCAACAGCAGAAAUGUGCACCAUCGGAAGAACGCGAUUACCACUCGAGAUGCAAACACGCAUAAGACUGAGGUGCUUUCUUCGGUGUUCCCCUUUUUGUGCGCGUCUUACGCUGGUGGUGGUGGUGGUGGUGGGGUGGCUUAGCAUGGGCAAUUGUUGAGUGCGUCCUGCAGACCCCAGGGCGCAGGUGCGUCUGUGUAUUUUCUCUGCGCGCUGGUUUUCUCGUUUCUGUUUCGUCGUUUGACCGCCUUCAUCCCUCCUCGACUCGCUUGCGUGUGUGGCCGCGGCUUCGUUUUGCCAGCUCUGUUCUCGCGGAUGCGCAACUCGCCUCGCUGCGUCAUUUAUGCACCAGUGCGGUGUCGCUCUAUGGGGAGGUGCGUGCGACAGCCCUUGAAUCGCGUGCUCCGUGGUAGCUUGCCUCUACUUUUUAUCCAGCGUGCGCACUCCAGCGCGUUUGCGGGCGCAUUUCUCAUUCGCUUCGUCGUUUUGUUUUCCCCCUGUUUUUCUCUGUGCUUCGCGUGCUUUUAUGUUUUUUUUUUUUUUUUACGCGGCCAAUGCUGUUCAGCAGCGUGUACAUCAC
This 6788-nucleotide unclassified non-coding RNA is filed under the name Leishmania donovani. Its description in RNAcentral is "gene:LdHU3.34.3680(CDS-product:Sec7_domain_contai ning_protein_putative)". The record is from RNAcentral. Lineage: Eukaryota; Euglenozoa; Kinetoplastea; Trypanosomatida; Trypanosomatidae.